Molecule: ribosomal RNA, 244 nt
Filed under: uncultured bacterium
Lineage: Bacteria
Description: partial 16S ribosomal RNA
Rfam family: Bacterial small subunit ribosomal RNA
Source: RNAcentral
UACGUAGGGUGCGAGCGUUAAUCGGAAUUACUGGGCGUAAAGCGUGCGCAGGCGGUUUUGUAAGUCAGAUGUGAAAUCCCCGGGCUCAACCUGGGAACUGCGUUUGAAACUACAAGGCUAGAGUGUAGCAGAGGGGGGUAGAAUUCCACGUGUAGCAGUGAAAUGCGUAGAGAUGUGGAGGAAUACCAAUGGCGAAGGCAGCCCCCUGGGUUAACACUGACGCUCAUGCACCGAAAGCGUGGGG